Molecule: ribosomal RNA, 497 nt
Filed under: uncultured bacterium
Lineage: Bacteria
Description: partial 16S ribosomal RNA
Rfam family: Bacterial small subunit ribosomal RNA
Source: RNAcentral
GAUGAACGCUGGCGGCGUGCCUAAUACAUGCAAGUCGAGCGAACAGAUAAGGAGCUUGCUCCUUUGACGUUAGCGGCGGACGGGUGAGUAACACGUGGGUAACCUACCUAUAAGACUGGAAUAACUCCGGGAAACCGGGGCUAAUGCAGGAUAACAUGUUGAACCGCAUGGUUCUACAGAGAAAGGCGGCUUUGCUGUCACUUAUAGAUGGACCCGCGCCGUAUUAGCUAGUUGGUGAGGUAACGGCUCACCAAGGCAACGAUACGUAGCCGACCUGAGAGGGUGAUCGGCCACACUGGAACUGAGACACGGUCCAGACUCCUACGGGAGGCAGCAGUAGGGAAUCUUCCGCAAUGGGCGAAAGCCUGACGGAGCAACGCCGCGUGAGUGAUGAAGGUCUUCGGAUCGUAAAACUCUGUUAUUAGGGAAGAACAAAUGCGUAAGUAACUGUGCGCGUCUUGACGGUACCUAAUCAGAAAGCCACGGCUAACUACGUG